CUUCCUGCUGUUUGGCUGCAGGGCAAGGCGUGUCUCCGUGGGCCCCGGGAAAUGGGGGUGUGUUCGCGUCCAAGAGGGCGUGGCCCGCGUCCGGAGUGGGAGCAGCCGCCCCGCCCCGCCUUGUCGGGCGACUCCUCGCCUGAACCGCAGCUUCCGCGGGAGCCCUGGAUCUGGUCCAGAACACAGAGGAGGAAGCUCUGGUGACAUUGUAGACACAGGCUGGGAGCAGCAAGCUUGGCCGGGAGCGGCUCGAGGAGUUGGCAGAUAACUUCACGGAGCCUCAGGCAAACAAUCCUUGUGGAAAAACAAAUGUCCUCCCUCAGUCUCAUGGGUUGUCUUGUCCCCAAGCACCCCCGGUGGCCAGCGCAUGCUGGCCCUCCGCCAAUGGCGCCCCUCAGGUGACUGGGAAGCACAGUGGUCUAUUAAAAAAGAGUUGGCAUGAAAAUGUGAGGGAGUCUCCAGCCACCAGUAACCAUCCUCGGUGUCCGACCAGAAAAAUCUAAAAACGCACGCAGCAGCACUGAGCUGUACUCACAAGACUUC
Molecule: long non-coding RNA, 543 nt
Organism: Mustela lutreola (European mink)
Lineage: Eukaryota; Metazoa; Chordata; Mammalia; Carnivora; Mustelidae
Exons: 3
Source: RefSeq, a predicted model, not a curated record